RNAcentral lists this ribosomal RNA (1353 nucleotides) under Streptomyces sp. TRM46001. RNAcentral describes it as "bacterial SSU rRNA". It matches the Rfam family "Bacterial small subunit ribosomal RNA", at positions 79 to 1438 of the family's 1533-position model. The record is from RNAcentral. Lineage: Bacteria; Bacillati; Actinomycetota; Actinomycetes; Kitasatosporales; Streptomycetaceae.
UUCGGUGGGGGAAGAGUGGCGAACGGGUGAGUAACACGUGGGCAAUCUGCCCUGCACUCUGGGACAAGCCCUGGAAACGGGGUCUAAUACCGGAUAUGAGUCUCCAUCGCAUGGUGGGGGCUGUAAAGCUCCGGCGGUGCAGGAUGAGCCCGCGGCCUAUCAGCUUGUUGGUGAGGUAACGGCUCACCAAGGCGACGACGGGUAGCCGGCCUGAGAGGGCGACCGGCCACACUGGGACUGAGACACGGCCCAGACUCCUACGGGAGGCAGCAGUGGGGAAUAUUGCACAAUGGGCGCAAGCCUGAUGCAGCGACGCCGCGUGAGGGAUGACGGCCUUCGGGUUGUAAACCUCUUUCAGCAGGGAAGAAGCGUGAGUGACGGUACCUGCAGAAGAAGCGCCGGCUAACUACGUGCCAGCAGCCGCGGUAAUACGUAGGGCGCAAGCGUUGUCCGGAAUUAUUGGGCGUAAAGAGCUCGUAGGCGGCUUGUCGCGUCGGUUGUGAAAGCCCGGGGCUUAACCCCGGGUCUGCAGUCGAUACGGGCAGGCUAGAGUUCGGUAGGGGAGAUCGGAAUUCCUGGUGUAGCGGUGAAAUGCGCAGAUAUCAGGAGGAACACCGGUGGCGAAGGCGGAUCUCUGGGCCGAUACUGACGCUGAGGAGCGAAAGCGUGGGGAGCGAACAGGAUUAGAUACCCUGGUAGUCCACGCCGUAAACGGUGGGCACUAGGUGUGGGCAGCAUUCCACGUUGUCCGUGCCGCAGCUAACGCAUUAAGUGCCCCGCCUGGGGAGUACGGCCGCAAGGCUAAAACUCAAAGGAAUUGACGGGGGCCCGCACAAGCGGCGGAGCAUGUGGCUUAAUUCGACGCAACGCGAAGAACCUUACCAAGGCUUGACAUACACCGGAAACAUCCAGAGAUGGGUGCCCCCUUGUGGUCGGUGUACAGGUGGUGCACGGCUGUGUUCAGCUCGUGUCUUGAGAUGUUGGGUUAAGUCCCGCAACGAGCGCACCCCUUGUCCCGUGUUGCCACCACGCCCCUUGUGGGUGGUGGGGACUCACGGGAGACCGCCGGGGUCAACUCGGAGGAAGGUGGGGACGACGUCAAGUCAUCAUGCCCCUUAUGUCUUGGGCUGCACACGUGCUACAAUGGCCGGUACAAUGAGCUGCGAUACCGCGAGGUGGAGCGAAUCUCAAAAAGCCGGUCUCAGUUCGGAUUGGGGUCUGCAACUCGACCCCAUGAAGUCGGAGUCGCUAGUAAUCGCAGAUCAGCAUUGCUGCGGUGAAUACGUUCCCGGGCCUUGUACACACCGCCCGUCACGUCACGAAAGUCGGUAACACCCGAAGCCGGUGGCCCAA